UGCACCUCGAACGACUCUACGUGGAGGUAACUCGCGGGGGAAAAGUGGCGAAAGGGGCAGUAAAGCGUGGGUAACCUACCCCGAGGCCUGGGAUAGCCAUCCUAACGGUUGGGUAAUACCAGAUAAUCUGACGCAGGCACCUGCUCGUGUCAGCAAACGAAUCUCGCCUCGGGAGGGGCUCACGUGCUAUUAGCUCGUUGGCGGGGUAACGGCCCACCAAGGCAAAGAUGGCUAGCGGGUGUGAGAGCACGACCCGCGCCACUGGCACUGAGACACUGGCCAGACACCUACGGGUGGCUGCAGUCGAGGAUCUUCGGCAAUGGGCGCAAGCCUGACCGAGCGACGCCGCGUGCGCGAUGAAGGCCUUCGGGUUGUAAAGCGCUGUCGAGGGGGAGGAAAGCCCGCAAGGGUCUGACCUAGCCCUGGAGGAAGGACGGGCUAAGUUCGUGCCAGCAGCCGCGGUAAGACGAACCGUCCUAACGUUGUUCGGAUUCACUGGGCUUAAAGGGCGCGUAGGCGGGCCCGCCAGUCCGGGGUGAAAGCUUUCGGCUCAACCGGAAAAGUGCCUCGGAAACUGCGGGUCUAGAGGGAGGUAGGGGCAUGUGGAACUUCUGGUGGAGCGGUGAAAUGCGUUGAUAUCAGAAGGAACGCCGGUGGCGAAAGCGACGUGCUGGACCUCUACUGACGCUGAGGCGCGAAAGCCAGGGGAGCAAACGGGAUUAGAUACCCCGGUAGUCCUGGCCCUAAACGAUGAGGACUAGGUAGCGGACUAAACAUGGGUUCGCUGCCGAAGCUAAAGUGCUAAGUCCUCCGCCUGGGGAGUAUGGUCGCAGGCUGAAACUCAAGGAAUUGACGGGGCUCACACAACGGGUGGAGCAUGUGGCUUAAUUCGAGGCUACCCGAAAAA
This 907-nucleotide ribosomal RNA is filed under the name uncultured soil bacterium. RNAcentral describes it as "bacterial SSU rRNA". It matches the Rfam family "Bacterial small subunit ribosomal RNA", at positions 56 to 968 of the family's 1533-position model. The record is from RNAcentral.